CUACCAUGGCGUUUACGGGUAACGGAGGAUUAGGGUUCGAUUCCGGAGAGGGAGCCUGAGAAACGGCUACCACAUCUAAGGAUGGCAGCAGGCGCGUAAAUUACCCAAUCCUGAUUCAGGGAGGUAGUGACAAGAAAUAACGGACCGGGUCGCAAGACUUCGGGAUUGCAAUGAGCCGAAUUUACACCCCUUAGCGAGAAUCGAUUGGAGGGCAAGUCUGGUGCCAGCAGCCGCGGUAAUUCCAGCUCCAAUAGCGUAUAUUAAAGUUGUUGCAGUUAAAAAGCUCGUAGUUGGAUUUCUGGGAGGGUGCUAAUGUCCGCCGUAGUGCGUGUGCAGCCGCGCCCUUCCAUCCUUCUGUUAACGUCUCUUGGCAUUUGUUUGCUGGUGGCGGGCUCAGAUAUUUUACCUUGAGAAAAUUAGAGUGUUUCAGGCAGGCUAGGCCGGAAUAUAUUAGCAUGGAAUAAUGGAAUAGGACUAUGGUCUCUUUGUUGGUUUGAGGGACUGCAGUAAUGAUUAAUAGGGAUAGUUGGGGGCAUUAGUAUUUAAUUGUCAGAGGUGGAAUUCUCAGAUUUGUUAAAGACUAACUUAUGCGAAAGCAUUUGCCAAGGAUGUUUUCAUUAAUCAA
This 625-nucleotide ribosomal RNA is filed under the name Ciliophora sp. RNAcentral describes it as "SSU rRNA". It matches the Rfam family "Eukaryotic small subunit ribosomal RNA", at positions 341 to 980 of the family's 1831-position model. The record is from RNAcentral. Lineage: Eukaryota; Ciliophora.